RNAcentral lists this long non-coding RNA (312 nucleotides) under Olea europaea (common olive). Its description in RNAcentral is "long non-coding RNA (OEUR_LNC004759)". Lineage: Eukaryota; Viridiplantae; Streptophyta; Magnoliopsida; Lamiales; Oleaceae. The record is from RNAcentral.
AUUGAAUGAGUAGUGUUCUAUAGCUCCGAUUUCUUAUUUUAAGGGACUGCGACUGAUCAGUGGUCUCUUCUUGACAAAAAUAUCGAACUGGAGAUUGUGGACAUUAAAAAGCUUCUAAACUUUGUCAUCAAUGAUCAAGAUCAUGGGACGAAGAAUAAAUCAAUAUCUCAUUCGGAGAGUUCAGAAAUGGAGGAACAUAUAGAAGAAGAAAGCGAAGAGCAAGUUGUACAGCUAGAAUUCGAGAGGAUAGUAGCGAAAAUGCGCACACACAAUAUAUACUGUCCAAAUUGCAGUUCUCAGGUUACCAAAGUC